This 402-nucleotide ribosomal RNA is filed under the name uncultured prokaryote. Its description in RNAcentral is "bacterial SSU rRNA". It matches the Rfam family "Bacterial small subunit ribosomal RNA", at positions 355 to 774 of the family's 1533-position model. The record is from RNAcentral.
UAGGGAAUAUUAGAAAUGGACGAAAGUCUGAUCUAGCAACACCGCGUGUGCGAAGAAGGCCUUCGGGUUGUAAAGCACUUUUUGGAAGGAUUAGGAAGGAAUGUACUUCCAGAAUAAGUCUCGGCUAACUACGUGCCAGCAGCCGCGGUAACACGUAGGAGGCAAACGUUAUCCGGAUUUACUGUGCGUAAAGCGCGUGUAGGUGGUUCUGUAAGUAGGGCGUGAAAGUGCCUGGCUCAACUGGGAGAGGUCGUUCUAAAAUGCAGAGCUAGAGGAUGGUAGAGGGAGGUGGAAUUCCGGGUGUAGCGGUGGAAUGCGCAGAUAUCCGGAGGAACACCAGUGGCGAAAGCGGCCUCCUGGACCAUUCCUGACACUCAGACGCGAAAGCUAGGGUAGCAAACG